This 407-nucleotide ribosomal RNA is filed under the name uncultured prokaryote. RNAcentral's name for it is "bacterial SSU rRNA". It matches the Rfam family "Bacterial small subunit ribosomal RNA", at positions 355 to 776 of the family's 1533-position model. The record is from RNAcentral.
UGAGGAAUAUUGGGCAAUGGGCGAAAGCCUGACCCAGCAACGCCGCGUGAGGGAAGAAGGUUUUCGGAUCGUAAACCUCUGUCCUUGGGGACGAAAGAAAUGACGGUACCCGGGGAACAAGCCACGGCUAACUACGUGCCAGCAGCCGCGGUAAUACGUAGGUGGCAAGCGUUGUCCGGAAUUACUGGGUGUAAAGGGCGUGUAGGCGGGGCGGCAAGUCAGAUGUGAAAUACCGUGGCUUAACUGCGGGGGUGCAUCUGAAACUGCUGCUCUUGAGUGUCGGAGAGGAAAGUGGAAUUCCCAGUGUAGCGGUGAAAUGCGUAGAGAUUGGGAGGAACACCAGUGGCGAAGGCGGCUUUCUGGACGAUAACUGACGCUGAGGCGCGAAAGCGUGGGUAGCAAACAGG